UAAUAAGUGUUUUAUGGCACUUUUUAAAUCCAUAUCCACCUUGUGUGCAAUGUCAGUCGGUUUUCUUUUUCGUCAAGAAAAAAAGGAUCGACCAAACAUCAACCUUAUUCUAAUUGAACUUUUGUCUGAAAACUAUUAUGAAUAAACUAAUUCAAAAUA
RNAcentral lists this unclassified non-coding RNA (159 nucleotides) under soil metagenome. Its description in RNAcentral is "partial internal transcribed spacer 1". The record is from RNAcentral.